CAGCCGCCGCGGGAAUACGAAGGGUGCAAGCGUUACUCGGAAUUACUGGGCGUAAAGCGUGCGUAGGUGGUGGUUUAAGUCCGUUGUGAAAGCCCUGGGCUCAACCUGGGAAUUGCAGUGGAUACUGGAUCACUAGAGUGUGGUAGAGGAUAGUGGAAUUUCCGGUGUAGCAGUGAAAUGCGUAGAGAUCGGAAGGAACAUCUGUGGCGAAGGCGACUAUCUGGGCCAACACUGACACUGAGGCGCGAAAGCGUGGGGAGCAAACAGGAUUAGAUACCCGCGUAGUCCCUGUCUCUUAUAC
This 301-nucleotide ribosomal RNA is filed under the name uncultured bacterium. RNAcentral describes it as "partial 16S ribosomal RNA". It matches the Rfam family "Bacterial small subunit ribosomal RNA", at positions 509 to 807 of the family's 1533-position model. The record is from RNAcentral.